This 1483-nucleotide long non-coding RNA is filed under the name Marmota monax (woodchuck). The record is from RNAcentral. Lineage: Eukaryota; Metazoa; Chordata; Mammalia; Rodentia; Sciuridae.
GCCAUUUCAAAGUUUGUUACUUCAAAUGGGUAGAAGAGAUUGUUGUGAGAGAAUGCAGCAACUGAAAUCAACCUGCAGUGCUGGUGCUGGAAUAAUGUGGAAAAAACACAUCCUCAAGAAAAGUUGGAGCACAGAAAACACCUGAAAUGAUACACAGAAACAGUCUUUUUGAAAUUCUCAUUUGGGACAUCCUCUAAAUCCUGGAAACCUCGUGUUGAAGAUUUGAUUUGACCAACUGUCGCUCAAAUGAUUAGCAUGUCAACAAAAUAAACUUGGAUAGCAUUUCCAGAUGUGGUAUUAAUCAACAAGAGCUUGGCCAUACCAAAUGUCAGUAUCAUAGAGACUGGAAAUUGAAAGUGCCUCCAACAGAAAGAGACAACAGAAUACUGACAAGGAAAGGCAACACCAAGAUUUCCUUGAAAAACUUGAAGAUGAGGCAGUUGGGAAAAUGUCAACAAAUGUCAACAUCUAUCUCUGUGGAAAGUGACACAGACAAGAGGGAGCAUCUCAAAUGGGUUUGGCUGAGAUGCUUCAAGACCUUCACAUUCCUGAGAUGCACUGGGAAAGAAGAGGCAUCAGUGGUGACAGCCUGAGCCAUGGCUAUAGAUGGCUUCCACCUCUGUGGGCUCUCCUUACUUACUACAAGACAAAAUACCACUUACUGUCCACUCCAUCUGUGCCUCCAAAUGGCAAGAGCAGAAUAAAUAAGGACUGAAUAUGAAUAAAUAUGGCUACUUCAAUUUAAAAAAAUAGUAGAUGUAGGAAGAAACAGGAAAAUAUAACCCAUACAUGGAAAAAGUGGGCAGUAGAAAUCAACCAUGAAAUAACAGAACCUGGAAAUUUCAGGUGGGGAUCUUUAAGCUAUUGUAAAAAUACAUUCAAGGACUUAGAGGAAAAUAUGGUCAUAAUUUCAUCUGCUGAUAAAAUUGAUUAACCCAUAAUAAUCAAAAGGGUGGAAUUACUAUGAUAAGGAAUGAGAGAAUACAGCUGCAAUAAAUAUUAAUAUGUUGAAAGAGUAUCAUAAAUUGGUAUAUGACAAUAAAUUCUAUGUGGAUGAAAUAGAAAUGGAAUUAUUUGAAAAACACAAUUUACCAAACUCACUCAAGAUGAAAUAAGAAAGGUAAAGAACUUUAUAUGGUCUCAAAUUAAAACUGAUCUCCACAGCAGAGGAGACAUGAAGAGAGUCUACAGAAUAGGAGAAAGCUUUGCUAGUUGCUCCUCCAACAGGAGAUUAAUAUCCAGAAUAUAUAAAGAACCUCAAAAUAUAACACCAUGAAAACAAAUAACCCAACCAAUGAAUGGGCAAAAAAAUCAAAUACAAAUAGCCAACAUAUAUAUGAAAAACUGUUCAACAUCCUUAGCAAUCAGGCAAAUGAAAAUCAAAACCACACCGAUUUCAUUUCAUUUCACUUAGAAUGGCAAUCAUCAAGAAUACAAAUAAUGAUAUUUAGGAAAUAUGUAUACAUUUAAUUUUCAUUUCCUU